CCUACGGGUGGCAGCAGUCGAGAAUCAUUCACAAUGGGGGAAACCCUGAUGGUGCGACGCCGCGUGGGGGAAUGAAGGUCUUCGGAUUGUAAACCCCUGUCAUGUGGGAGCAAAUUAAAACGAUCGUACCACACGAGGAAGAGACUGCUAACUCUGUGCCAGCAGCCGCGGUAAUACAGAGGUCUCAAGCGUUGUUCGGAAUCACUGGGCGUAAAGCGUGCGUAGGCUGUUUCGUAAGUCGUGUGUGAAAGGCGCGGGCUCAACCCGCGGACGGCACAUGAUACUGCGAGACUAGAGUAAUGGAGGGGGAACCGGAAUUCUCGGUGUAGCAGUGAAAUGCGUAGAUAUCGAGAGGAACACUCGUGGCGAAGGCGGGUUCCUGGACAUUAACUGACGCUGAGGCACGAAGGCCAGGGGAGCGAAAGGGAUUAGAUACCCCAGUAGUC
This 446-nucleotide ribosomal RNA is filed under the name uncultured bacterium. RNAcentral describes it as "partial 16S ribosomal RNA". It matches the Rfam family "Bacterial small subunit ribosomal RNA", at positions 338 to 795 of the family's 1533-position model. The record is from RNAcentral.